UACAAGAACGCCCGGGCUUCGGCCUGGUUAUUCAUAACCCUUUGUUGUCCGACUCUGUUGCCUCCGGGGCGACCCUGCCUUCGGGCGGGGGCUCCGGGUGGACACUUCAAACUCUUGCGUAACUUUGCAGUCUGAGUAAACUUAAUUAAUAAAUUAAAACUUUUAACAACGGAUCUCUUGGUUCUGGCAUCGAUGAAGAACGCAGCGAAAUGCGAUAAGUAAUGUGAAUUGCAGAAUUCAGUGAAUCAUCGAAUCUUUGAACGCACAUUGCGCCCCCUGGUAUUCCGGGGGGCAUGCCUGUUCGAGCGUCAUUUCACCACUCAAGCCUCGCUUGGUAUUGGGCAACGCGGUCCGCCGCGUGCCUCAAAUCGUCCGGCUGGGUCUUCUGUCCCCUAAGCGUUGUGGAAACUAUUCGCUAAAGGGUGUUCGGGAGGCUACGCCGUAAAACAACCCCAUUUCUAAGGUUGACCUCGGAUCAGGUAGGGAUACCCGCUGAACUUAAGCAUAUCAAUAAGCGGAGGA
RNAcentral lists this ribosomal RNA (522 nucleotides) under uncultured fungus. RNAcentral's name for it is "eukaryotic LSU rRNA". The stretch from base 158 to 311 matches the Rfam family "5.8S ribosomal RNA". Lineage: Eukaryota; Fungi. The record is from RNAcentral.